This 466-nucleotide ribosomal RNA is filed under the name Lamproderma spinulosporum. RNAcentral describes it as "SSU rRNA". It matches the Rfam family "Eukaryotic small subunit ribosomal RNA", at positions 4 to 432 of the family's 1831-position model. The record is from RNAcentral. Lineage: Eukaryota; Evosea; Eumycetozoa; Stemonitida; Stemonitidae.
UUGGUUGAUCCUGCCAGUAGUGUAUGCUUCUCCUAAAGACUAAGCCAUGCAUGCCCUCGAAUAAGAGGAAGCAAUUCUCUCUGAAUCUGCGAACGGCUCCGCAAACCAGUUGUAAACUAGAGCAAGCUAGUCUGGCGGGCUUCGGCCUCCAGGCGAUAUGGAUAACCCUGGUAAUUCUGAGGCUAAUACAGGACCGCAAAACCGGGCAGCCCAGCAAUGGAUGCCCGGGGCUGUGCGAUAUGGCUUGACAAUGACCGGGAAAGGACGCACACUCAGACCGCGCUACAAAGGAUCGGGACUCCCCUCGGGGAACCCGGCCCCAGCGGCUCUUGCUGUGUGCUUCUGACCUAUCAACUAGACGGCAGCGUAAUGGACAUGCUAUGGUGACAACGGGUACAGAGGAUUAGGGUUCGAUCCUGGAGAGUGGGCCUGAGAGAUUGCUCAUACUUNUAAGGAAGGCAGCAGG